RNAcentral lists this ribosomal RNA (434 nucleotides) under uncultured bacterium. RNAcentral's name for it is "bacterial SSU rRNA". It matches the Rfam family "Bacterial small subunit ribosomal RNA", at positions 957 to 1392 of the family's 1533-position model. The record is from RNAcentral.
UAACGCGAAGAACCUUACCAGGUCUUGACAUCCUUUGACCACUCUAGAGAUAGAGCUUUCCCUUCGGGGACAAAGUGACAGGUGGUGCAUGGUUGUCGUCAGCUCGUGUCGUGAGAUGUUGGGUUAAGUCCCGCAACGAGCGCAACCCUUAUUACUAGUUGCCAGCAUUAAGUUGGGCACUCUAGUGAGACUGCCGGUGACAAACCGGAGGAAGGUGGGGACGACGUCAAAUCAUCAUGCCCCUUAUGACCUGGGCUACACACGUGCUACAAUGGAUGGUACAACGAGUUGCGAGACCGCGAGGUUUAGCUAAUCUCUUAAAACCAUUCUCAGUUCGGAUUGUAGGCUGCAACUCGCCUACAUGAAGCCGGAAUCGCUAGUAAUCGCGGAUCAGCAUGCCGCGGUGAAUACGUUCCCGGGCCUUGUACACACCG